AAUGAGAGGAGAAACCAUAUUUGGUGUAUUUUCCUCCUGGUUCCUAUUUGCCAUGUCUUAUGGCACAUGUCCUCUAUAUGUUAUGUCUGUAUUAAGUAAAAAUGACAUACAUCUUUCUCUUCAGCAUGACCAGAGCUCUCCAAAAAGCUCAAGAGAGACCAAACUGGAAACCUCCAGUGGAUGAACAGGAAACCUCUCCUUCCGUUGGGACCCAAGCUCCAAGAGCCUUAUGGGAAAUGUAGUCCUCGAUGAAUUUCUGCGGACCCUGGGAAAUCUGGCCGAAUCAAUGCUUCCAUACACUUGCACUGCGCUGGAUGGGCAGUGUUCUCAGUGCUUUGGCUGGUUUGGCGCCAGCAUCCCGUGAAAGUUGAAGAGCAAAGACCGGCUUAUUGGUGCAUGUGAAAGAAGUAAAACUGGUUUGAAUCAUGGCAGUACAUGUAGUGCCAUCAAGGACUUUGUCCAUGGAGGUGGUGUUCCAGAUGUUUGAGGAGAGAGGAACCUGUAUGUUCAAGGAUGUGGCCAUGGACCUAACCAAGGAGGAGUGAGGGCAACUGGACCCUGCACAGAGGGCCCCGUACAAAGAGGUGAGCUGGAGAUCUACGGCGACCUGGUGUUAGUGGAUGGGGACAACUACUCUUUAGAGAAUUUUUGUUUCCUGGGUGGUUAAAAGCUGUGGGCUCUAAAAGUGUUACUAAGGAGGGGCUUGAGAUUCAAACCACAGAGUUUCUCAAUCACUGUUGAAGAAAGAAAAAUGUUGCUGCCUAAUAAAAAUCUGUUUCCCCUCCCCCACUUGUAUUUCUUUUUUUUCUUUUGAGAUAAAAUUCACAUAGCAUAAAAUCAACCAUUUUAAUUUGUACAGUUCAGUGGCAUUUAAUACAUCAAAGGAUUGUAUAAUUACCUUCUCUGUCAAGUUCCAAAGCAUUUUCAUCACCCCAAAAGGAGAUACUGCAGUUCUGCAUCCAGACCACCAUAAUAAAGUGAGUGUAACAAUAAAAUGAGUCAUAAUCUUUUUGUUGGUGGAAGGUGUUGCCUUCAGCUUGUAAAAAACGCAACACCUGGUAAGUGCAAUAAAGCAGUGCAAUAA
Molecule: long non-coding RNA, 1084 nt
Organism: Phyllostomus discolor (pale spear-nosed bat)
Lineage: Eukaryota; Metazoa; Chordata; Mammalia; Chiroptera; Phyllostomidae
Exons: 3
Source: RefSeq, a predicted model, not a curated record